Ochlerotatus camptorhynchus is the source of this 1561-nucleotide long non-coding RNA. RefSeq lists it as uncharacterized. The transcript is spliced from 3 exons. NCBI's taxonomy places the organism in Eukaryota, Metazoa, Arthropoda, Insecta, Diptera, Culicidae. The record is from RefSeq and is a predicted model, not a curated record.
UGAAACGGUUGUUUUGAAGUGGAAUCUUUUCUUUUAGUUAUUUAAAACAAAUUCUUACGGAAAUGGAUAUUUGCUGCAGAAUAUGCCGUCGUAAAGAGUUGAAGCAUUUCUUUCCCUUGAAUUAUCAAAGUGAUUAUAGUGACACGGUUCUGAGCAUGAUGCAGUCUAUGACAGGACUUGAGGGUGCACUUGGAGAUAAGUUACCACAACAGAUAUGUCGCAUAUGUAUGGGAAGCUUGGUAGCUGGGUACGAGUUGAGGCAACUCUGCAUCGAAUCGUAUACCUAUUUCCAAAAGACAAUUCAAACCGAUAACCAGAAACUACCCAGGGAAGAAACAUUGCCCUGCGAUGAAUUUGAUAACAAUGAUCUUGAGUCCUGCUUAACGCUAGGACAGAUCAAGUUUGAACCUUUCGUUGACGCUGAAGAAAUGGUUACCGAUUUGGUAGAAACGGACAAUGUGGGAUACAAAGAAAACGGAACUGAAGACAAAUUUUACUGCUGUUUUCCGAACUGCGGUGUCAAUUAUCAGUUCAAAGAACUACUGAUAGAGCACGCUGCAUCCGAUCAUCAAUUGGAAAAGAAAUCAAAUGCAGCUAAGUGCAAUGAAUCCGAAUUCUAUUGCAUCGUGUGUGCCAGAUCUUUCACGGAUGAGAUCAACCUGGUGGAGCACCGAAAUCGGAAGAAAACAGCAAUGUUCCACUGUUUGUACUGUGGAUAUCAAACGGAAUCCAAAGCCUUGUACGGGGAACAUACUCGAGCGCAUAACAAGAAAGAGAAAGUAUGUGAAUGUGGCUUCAAAACGACCCUCACAUUUAGCUUUAAACGACACCAGGCGAAAUGUGUACCAUCCAAACGCAAACGUCCAGUAAGGCAACAGAAAUGGAACGCACUUGAAGAGCACAUCGCUGAUGAUAAAACGAACGAUGAAAUGAUGGCUAUGGGAUUCAUUUUGAGUCGCCACACAAGCAUGUUUUAUUGUUGCAUUUCUCAUUGUGCCACCGUCUGCGAAACUCAGCAGCAAUUGAGUGACCACUUCCAGACAGCACAUCCUGAAGUGCGUGUGGAAAACAUGAAUAGUGAUUCGGGUAGCAGGAAUGUGGUGCGAUGCCCGAUUUGUUUUCAUGGACUGCCUACAAAAAAGGCGCUUCAGAUUCAUCUGGAAGAUGCUUAUGCUCCCACAUUUCGUUGCAAUACAUGCCGCUAUAAUUGCACCUCGAGAAAAUCUGCUAUUUUACAUGCUUCUACGUCUUGCGUGGCGAAAAUGCAUCGAUGCAGCUGUGGCUAUUCGACAUCCUACCUAGGUACUAUCAAGCGUCACAUACAGGCUUCGGGUUGUCCGCAGGAAGGUAGUACGCUAAAAUACGUGAGAACCAAAAGAAACAAAUCAAAUAAUCACAUUGGUCCGAGAAAGCAACUCCCUAAAUGUAAAUAUUGUGAGAAAUCUUUCACGACACUCGAGAAUCUACGAAGACACAUGGACUCAGAACUAUCCCUUGCGUUGGCAAAACAAGAAGCGCACGACGCAGGAAAGCAAAUUGAAGGAUCUGAGCAAAAGGAAUA